This 1343-nucleotide ribosomal RNA is filed under the name uncultured bacterium. RNAcentral describes it as "16S ribosomal RNA". It matches the Rfam family "Bacterial small subunit ribosomal RNA", at positions 28 to 1378 of the family's 1533-position model. The record is from RNAcentral.
GACGAACGCUGGCGGCGUGCUUAACACAUGCAAGUCGAACGGAAAGGCCCUGCUUUUGUGGGGUGCUCGAGUGGCGAACGGGUGAGUAACACGUGAGUAACCUGCCCUUGACUUUGGGAUAACUUCAGGAAACUGGGGCUAAUACCGGAUAGGAGCUCCUGCUGCAUGGUGGGGGUUGGAAAGUUUCGGCGGUUGGGGAUGGACUCGCGGCUUAUCAGCUUGUUGGUGGGGUAGUGGCUUACCAAGGCUUUGACGGGUAGCCGGCCCGAGAGGGUGACCGGCCACAUUGGGACUGAGAUACGGCCCGGACUCCUACGGGAGGCAGCAGUGGGGAAUAUUGCACAAUGGGCGGAAGCCUGAUGCAGCAACGCCGCGUGCGGGAUGACGGCCUUCGGGUUGUAAACCGCUUUCGCCCGUGACGAAGCGUGAGUGACGGUAAUGGGUAAAGAAGCACCGGCUAACUACGUGCCAGCAGCCGCGGUGAUACGUAGGGUGCGAGCGUUGUCCGGAUUUAUUGGGCGUAAAGGGCUCGUAGGUGGUUGAUCGCGUCGGAAGUGUAAUCUUGGGGCUUAACCCUGAGCGUGCUUUCGAUACGGGUUGACUUGAGGAAGGUAGGGGAGAAUGGAAUUCCUGGUGGAGCGGUGGAAUGCGCAGAUAUCAGGAGGAACACCAGUGGCGAAGGCGGUUCUCUGGGCCUUUCCUGACGCUGAGGAGCGAAAGCGUGGGGAGCGAACAGGCUUAGAUACCCUGGUAGUCCACGCUGUAAACGGUGGGUACUAGGUGUGGGGUCCAUUCCACGGGUUCCGUGCCGUAGCUAACGCUUUAAGUACCCCGCCUGGGGAGUACGGCCGCAAGGCUAAAACUCAAAGGAAUUGACGGGGCCCCGCACAAGCGGCGGAGCAUGCGGAUUAAUUCGAUGCAACGCGUAGAACCUUACCUGGGUUUGACAUGGAUCGGGAGUGCUCAGAGAUGGGUGUGCCUCUUUUGGGGUCGGUUCACAGGUGGUGCAUGGCUGUCGUCAGCUCGUGUCGUGAGAUGUUGGGUUAAGUCCCGCAACGAGCGCAACCCUUGUUCACUGUUGCCAGCACGUUAUGGUGGGGACUCAGUGGAGACCGCCGGGGUCAACUCGGAGGAAGGUGGGGAUGACGUCAAGUCAUCAUGCCCCUUAUGUCCAGGGCUUCACGCAUGCUACAAUGGCUGGUACAGAGAGUGGCGAGCCUGUGAGGGUGAGCGAAUCUCGGAAAGCCGGUCUCAGUUCGGAUUGGGGUCUGCAACUCGACCUCAUGAAGUCGGAGUCGCUAGUAAUCGCAGAUCAGCAACGCUGCGGUGAAUACGUUCCCGGG